AGGAAAUCGUGUUCCUUGGGGUGGGGGGUUUACAUGCAAGUCGGACGGACUCUUCGGGAGUUGUGGCGGACGGGUGAGUAACGCGUGAGAACCUGGCUUCAGGUCUGGGACAACCACUGGAAACGGUGGCUAAUACCGGAUGUGCCUAUGGGUAAAAGGCUUGCUGCCUGAAGAUGAGCUCGCGUCUGAUUAGCUAGUAGGUGGGGUAAAGGCUUACCUAGGCGACGAUCAGUAGCUGGUCUGAGAGGAUGAUCAGCCACACUGGGACUGAGACACGGCCCAGACUCCUACGGGAGGCAGCAGUGGGGAAUUUUGGACAAUGGGGGCAACCCUGAUCCAGCGACGCCGCGUGGGUGAUGAAGGCCUUCGGGUUGUAAAGCCCUUUCGACGGGGACGAUGAUGACGGUACCCGGCGAAGAAGCACCGGCUAACUCCGUGCCAGCAGCCGCG
RNAcentral lists this ribosomal RNA (450 nucleotides) under uncultured Rhodovibrio sp. RNAcentral's name for it is "bacterial SSU rRNA". It matches the Rfam family "Bacterial small subunit ribosomal RNA", at positions 36 to 519 of the family's 1533-position model. The record is from RNAcentral. Lineage: Bacteria; Pseudomonadati; Pseudomonadota; Alphaproteobacteria; Rhodospirillales; Rhodovibrionaceae.